AUUUUUUUUUUCUAUUUGUUUAAAAAAAUUAGCUGGUUGAGAAACGCCCAAACAAUAAACAACCUGACCGAUCUCAAAAAUGGGGAUCACCACCUAACCGAGACGGUUUUGAGAAUCGGUCCUAGGCCGUCCAGUUUAAGGACCGAGGCUCCUCAGACCGGAACUGAACCGUGGCCGGGGAUUAAACUGAACAAAACAAAAUCAUAAGAGAACACAGUGCAAGGCGCAUCAUUCACUUCCAAAACUGACAAAACAUUGACCGGUCAAAGACAUAAACCGAAAAGCUGUGCUAAGAUUUUAAUACAGAAACAAAGCAAAAGGAGGAUAAAUAGAACCUCGAACAGAUUUUCAUUGUAAAUGUCCUCG
RNAcentral lists this unclassified non-coding RNA (366 nucleotides) under Hevea brasiliensis (rubber tree). The record is from RNAcentral. Lineage: Eukaryota; Viridiplantae; Streptophyta; Magnoliopsida; Malpighiales; Euphorbiaceae.